AUUGGACAAGUUCCAAUUAACCUUCCAACAAUGUUGGCGUAAUAACUGAGAUUUUUUUGAUUUAUUGAUUAAACCCUUUUGUUUGAUGAUGUUCUUGUGUGUAAUAUAAUUAUAAGUGUACUCGUCAAAUUUCAGGAGAAAACGAGUUAAAACGGAGAAGUUACGCGACCCGGAAGUUUGACUUAAGUGAAUAGUAACUCCGGUUUUCCGGAGAGGCCGCGGAGUAGAGUGGACUUUCGACGCGUAUCGGACUCCGAAUAUAGCCUUCCAAUAGCUCGUUUUCAACCGCUCGACUAUCCUGGACCCAAUGGCACUGACGGAAUUGGAUUUGGAUGCACGGAUUUCGAGAAAAAGGGGUUUAAUGGUUUUUACAUAUAGUUGUCUAUAUGUGGUUUUUGGUGGAACCUAGGAGGGAU
RNAcentral lists this long non-coding RNA (416 nucleotides) under Ananas comosus (pineapple). RNAcentral's name for it is "long non-coding RNA (ACOM_LNC023232)". Lineage: Eukaryota; Viridiplantae; Streptophyta; Magnoliopsida; Poales; Bromeliaceae. The record is from RNAcentral.